Molecule: long non-coding RNA, 1223 nt
Filed under: Canis lupus familiaris (dog)
Lineage: Eukaryota; Metazoa; Chordata; Mammalia; Carnivora; Canidae
Description: lncRNA (ENSCAFG00040011538.1)
Source: RNAcentral
AUGAUAAUUGGGGUUGGAAGGAGACGAGGGGAGACUAUCCCAGGGGACAGACAGGAUACGGACAGCCCUGCGGGGAGCAGUGCGCGGGCCCCGUUGCGAGGAGCCGUCUCGGAGCCUUUGCUCUCUUCCUGCGGGGGUGGAGGAGUCCGCCCAGGAGGCUGGGAGACGGCCGUGGGGCACCAGAAUGCUUGCUUUAUGACGUGCGAAGCCUUGAGAGCAGCGGAGGGCAGCACGCUUACUGGUGGAAGGACUAAAUGGGGUCCGAAGACGUCGGUUCUAGACCUCUGUGUCCAAGAGGGGCUCUGGGGCAUGCAGAGAGCACCGUCGCUGCUCCAGAAGCGGCCCAACACCUGGACGGCCCAGCUCGGAUGCUGCAGGGCCGGGCGGGCGCUUACCCGCUACAAGGUCCAACCUGUGUGCGGAGGCAAAAUCCCUCAGUCGGGCCAGUAGAGAUUUGCCCAGGAUCACCCCGACUCCGACUAGAAGCCGGUUCUUGCAAUGCCCGGGCAAACCUGCUACUCCCAUUUGUUGCUUCCCUUCCCUGAGUUUGGGGUGAAGGGGUCGUGUCAUGUGACAAUUCCAAAGAAGUGGUCAUUUGGUAAGGCUAAUGUUUGAAAUGUUUCCGUCCCUGCCCUCUCGCGCCCCAGGGUUGACUAGGCCCCAUUUCUAUGGGUCUCAUGGGCACUACUGCUUUCCUGUGUUCCCGUGGGAAGGAGGGCUGUCCUUUCAGAUUAGAGUCCGCGGGGAGCAACAUUACAACCACACCCCCCUCCCCACAGCAGAGCAUCCUCCCGGAAGAUACUCCGACCCUUUGGCCGUGAUGCUCCCAGCCCACAUUAGCUCAGCAUCCUGAACACAGAAGAUAAUGAGAAGGGGAGGAACCCUCUCAUGGGAGGCUAGGCUGGGGACUGGAGAGUACGUCUCUUGGAGGGGGGAAAGCAACACCCCCUUUUGAGCCCAGAAUUCAUCUGAUUGCUCCCGUGUAACAGGGAGGCCCCCUCAACCCAGCGAGCACCGCAUUCCAGGCAGCAAUGUGCUUCUGAGAGGGGGUCAUGGUCAAGAGCUGCCAGUCCAGGGUCUGCUUUUGGGGACAGUUCCGCAUCAGAUCGGACAGUCUCAGAGGGCGUGAGGGUCAGGUGGUGGCCGGUUACCAUGGCGACAGGCCCAUAGGAGCUCCCCAAGUCAGACGAAGUCUGCAGCUGCUGCUGUGAAAUUUGUACCAG